This 490-nucleotide ribosomal RNA is filed under the name uncultured bacterium. RNAcentral's name for it is "partial 16S ribosomal RNA". It matches the Rfam family "Bacterial small subunit ribosomal RNA", at positions 30 to 507 of the family's 1533-position model. The record is from RNAcentral.
AUUGAACGCUGGCGGCAGGCCUAACACAUGCAAGUCGAACGGUAACAGGAAGAAGCUUGCUUCUUUGCUGACGAGUGGCGGACGGGUGAGUAAUGUCUGGGAAACUGCCUGAUGGAGGGGGAUAACUACUGGAAACGGUAGCUAAUACCGCAUAACGUCGCAAGACCAAAGAGGGGGACCUUCGGGCCUCUUGCCAUCGGAUGUGCCCAGAUGGGAUUAGCUAGUAGGUGGGGUAACGGCUCACCUAGGCGACGAUCCCUAGCUGGUCUGAGAGGAUGACCAGCCACACUGGAACUGAGACACGGUCCAGACUCCUACGGGAGGCAGCAGUGGGGAAUAUUGCACAAAGGGCGCAAGCCAGAUGCAGCCAUGCCGCGUGUAUGAAGAAGGCCUUCGGGUUGUAAAGUACUUUCAGCGGGGAGGAAGGGAGUAAAGUUAAUACCUUUGCUCAUUGACGUUACCCGCAGAAGAAGCACCGGCUAACUCCGUG